Dethiosulfovibrio peptidovorans DSM 11002 is the source of this 74-nucleotide transfer RNA. It matches the Rfam family "tRNA". From Rfam's summary of the family: Transfer RNA (tRNA) molecules are approximately 80 nucleotides in length. Their secondary structure includes four short double-helical elements and three loops (D, anti-codon, and T loops). The record is from Rfam. Lineage: Bacteria; Thermotogati; Synergistota; Synergistia; Synergistales; Dethiosulfovibrionaceae.
GCGCCGGUAGCUCAGUUGGAUAGAGCAACGGCCUUCUAAGCCGUGGGUCGCGGGUUCGAAUCCUGCCCGGCGCG